RNAcentral lists this small nuclear RNA (107 nucleotides) under Saimiri boliviensis boliviensis (Bolivian squirrel monkey). Lineage: Eukaryota; Metazoa; Chordata; Mammalia; Primates; Cebidae. The record is from RNAcentral.
GUGCUCGCUUUGGCAGCACAUACACUAAAAUUGGAACAAUACAGAGAAGAUUAGCACGGCCCCUGCGCAAGGAUGACACGCAAAGUCAUGAAGCAUUCCAUAUUUUU